CCUCCAGUGACUGAUGGUGCAGGCUAGCCUUGAAGGACAGCUCUUCCUCCCUCCACACACUGCCAGCGCCAACUUUGUCUGACCAAGUUUCUUCAGCAGAAAAUGGAGGCUUGUAACAGAUGCACUGUGAGGCUGAGGCUGCACAGAAAACAGCUGAAGCACAGCCCUUCGAGAGUCCCGUGGAGAACUCGAGGAACAGGGGUGUCAAACCAAACACCAGAAGAAAAACUCUGUGAGACAUUCUGUGCCCAGUCUCCCUGAAUUCUGCAAACCCACUUUCUCCGCUAGAGUGAAGGUAACCGAGUCCUGGCCGUGAAAGCUGACUGGUAAUGCCUAGAGUUCGUCGCAAGGUGGCAACAUUGUGGCGAGAAAUAGAUAUUAAAAAUCCUGG
RNAcentral lists this long non-coding RNA (391 nucleotides) under Cricetulus griseus (Chinese hamster). Its description in RNAcentral is "lncRNA (ENSCGRG00015041173.1)". Lineage: Eukaryota; Metazoa; Chordata; Mammalia; Rodentia; Cricetidae. The record is from RNAcentral.